Long non-coding RNA from Mus musculus (house mouse), 753 nucleotides. RefSeq annotates it as predicted gene, 29831. The record is from RefSeq and is a predicted model, not a curated record. The transcript has 3 exons. Lineage: Eukaryota; Metazoa; Chordata; Mammalia; Rodentia; Muridae.
CUCAUAUCACCUCCUGGCCAUCUUCCAAGGUACUCUAUGCCCAAGCGCUGCUUUUGCUUGCCUCCCUUGGCUGGCCUAACUCACUUCCUCCCUUUGGAAGGUGGCGCACGCCACUGCUGAAGGGCAGGGGUCUCAUGGGGUGAUGGUUCAGGAAGAAGGCUCUGCAAGGGCUUCACAAACUGAAUGUGGACUCUGCCUGUUUCUUGGGCCUCUGUCCUGCAGCUGUGGAUCUGUGAUCAGAGAACUCUGAAUCUGACUUCAAGGUACCCCGCCCCCUCUCAAGUGAAUGUCCAGACCAAUGGUGACACCACCCAAAAUGAAUUUGGAGGCCUCUUUGCAGACUUCAGGAGUUCUGUACCCAGCUGUCUGCUGGGCCUGGGCGCUUUGGUGAUUCCGGUACAGGCUGAAAACUUCUGGAAGCCUAACUUAGUUGUCUGUAAACUGCAGUGGGCACAGACAGCUACAGGUCCCUUGCUGCUCUUGGCCUACCUGACCAGGACAGGUGUCAUCGGACUUUAUCCUCAUCCUAUGAUAGAGUGGAAGUCACUUGCCUGGAGCCCUCGCAAGCAGCUCUGACAUCAGAAUGCCUUCCCUAACUCACUUUGUCCCGACCACCAAACCCUGUCUCUUCUCCUUGGAGAAGCCCACCGCCGCCUGCGCGAAGCACACUCGAGGCAGGUGUUGACACGUAAGCCUCCCCGAGCCUGGCAAUGCAACCCUCCAAAUGGGCUCUCACCCUUAGGCGCGCCUGUC